Molecule: ribosomal RNA, 438 nt
Filed under: Triticum aestivum (bread wheat)
Lineage: Eukaryota; Viridiplantae; Streptophyta; Magnoliopsida; Poales; Poaceae
Description: partial small subunit ribosomal RNA
Source: RNAcentral
AUGGGGAAGCGGGUGUUGGGUUGGCAGAGCCUGCACUGGCGAAGAAGACGGACGAGGACUGGCAGCCCCGGAGCUACCUCGCCGCCGCGUCCAGUUCUACCCCGCCUCCUGCAAGCACGGCGACUUCUUCGACAUCGUCUAGGCAGGCCAUGUCCUAACCACACCCAAUCUCUUCAGUGGCAUUUCAAGUGUGACCCAUUGGAGCAAGAGAAGGCAGAUGGUGUUUUGGAGGAGAACUUGACUAGGAAAGUGAAACAGAUGCUACAUGAGGAAAAUGUGGCAGCCAUCAAAAGAUUAAUGAAGAAGGGACAAUUGCCUGCACAACUAACAGAAGUGGAUGAGAAUGGUAACCGUUGGCCAACUAAGGAAGCUUUAAUUUCUGCAAAGAAAAUUGACUUUGGUACCGAUGUUCGUUGGCGUCUACUAGUCAUUGGCUGA